GACGAACCGUGCGAACGUUAUUCGGAAUCACUGGGCUUAAAGGGCGCGUAGGCGGGCGACCAAGUCAGGGGUGAAAUCGUUCGGCCCAACCGGACAAGGGCCCCUGAUACUGGUUGUCUCGAGGGAGGUAGGGGUCGAUGGAACUUCCGGUGGAGCGGUGAAAUGCGUAGAUAUCGGAAGGAACGCCGGUGGCGAAAGCGAUCGACUGGACCUCUUCUGACACUGAGGCGCGAAAGCCAGGGGAGCAAACGGG
RNAcentral lists this ribosomal RNA (253 nucleotides) under uncultured bacterium. RNAcentral's name for it is "partial 16S ribosomal RNA". It matches the Rfam family "Bacterial small subunit ribosomal RNA", at positions 524 to 776 of the family's 1533-position model. The record is from RNAcentral.